RNAcentral lists this ribosomal RNA (253 nucleotides) under uncultured bacterium. Its description in RNAcentral is "partial 16S ribosomal RNA". It matches the Rfam family "Bacterial small subunit ribosomal RNA", at positions 524 to 776 of the family's 1533-position model. The record is from RNAcentral.
UACAGAGGGGGCAAGCGUUAUUCGGAAUUAUUGGGCGUAAAGGGCGCGUAGGCGGCUUGAUGUGUCAAAGGUGAAAUCCCUCGGCUCAACUGAGGAACUGCCUUUGAAACUGUCUGGCUUGAGGCCGGGAGAGGGUAGCGGAAUUCCCAGUGUAGCGGUGAAAUGCGUGGAUACUGGGAGGAACACCGGUGGCGAAGGCGGCUACCUGGACCGGUUCUGACGCUGAUGCGCGAAAGCGUGGGUAGCAAACAGG